Molecule: ribosomal RNA, 557 nt
Filed under: Pseudobutyrivibrio ruminis
Lineage: Bacteria; Bacillati; Bacillota; Clostridia; Lachnospirales; Lachnospiraceae
Description: bacterial LSU rRNA
Rfam family: Bacterial large subunit ribosomal RNA
Source: RNAcentral
AAGGUGUGGAGCCGAAGGGAUACCAAGUCUGAAUAGGGCGAAUAGUCAGUGAUUGUAGACCCGAAACCGGGUGACCUAUCCAUGUCCAGGCUGAAGUUUCCGUAAAAGGAAAUGGAGGGCCGAAGCCACAUCCGUUGAAAAGGGUGGGCAUGAGGUGUGGAUAGCGGAGAAAUUCCAAUCGAACCCGGAGAUAGCUGGUUCUCCUCGAAAUAGCUUUAGGGCUAGCCUCGUAUUAGACUACUGGAGGUAGAGCACUGAAUUCUUAAGGGGGCGUCAAAGCUUACCAAGAGAUAUCAAACUCCGAAUGCCAGAUAGCCGAUGUACGGGAGUCAGACUAUACGAGAUAAGUUGGAUAGUCAAAAGGGAAACAGCCCAGACCUACAGCUAAGGUCCCAAAGUGUGUGUUAAGUGGUAAAGGAUGUGGGAUUUCAUAGACAACUAGGAUGUUGGCUCAGAAGCAGCCAUACAUUCAAAGAGUGCGUAACAGCUCACUAGUCGAGAGGUCCUGCGCCGAAAAUGUCCGGGGCUAAAACACAACACCGAAGCUUAGGAUUCAU